Molecule: ribosomal RNA, 859 nt
Filed under: Escherichia coli
Lineage: Bacteria; Pseudomonadati; Pseudomonadota; Gammaproteobacteria; Enterobacterales; Enterobacteriaceae
Description: partial 23S ribosomal RNA
Rfam family: Bacterial large subunit ribosomal RNA
Source: RNAcentral
GUUAGUGGAAGCGUCUGGAAAGGCGCGCGAUACAGGGUGACAGCCCCGUACACAAAAAUGCACAUGCUGUGAGCUCGAUGAGUAGGGCGGGACACGUGGUAUCCUGUCUGAAUAUGGGGGGACCAUCCUCCAAGGCUAAAUACUCCUGACUGACCGAUAGUGAACCAGUACCGUGAGGGAAAGGCGAAAAGAACCCCGGCGAGGGGAGUGAAAAAGAACCUGAAACCGUGUACGUACAAGCAGUGGGAGCACGCUUAGGCGUGUGACUGCGUACCUUUUGUAUAAUGGGUCAGCGACUUAUAUUCUGUAGCAAGGUUAACCGAAUAGGGGAGCCGAAGGGAAACCGAGUCUUAACUGGGCGUUAAGUUGCAGGGUAUAGACCCGAAACCCGGUGAUCUAGCCAUGGGCAGGUUGAAGGUUGGGUAACACUAACUGGAGGACCGAACCGACUAAUGUUGAAAAAUUAGCGGAUGACUUGUGGCUGGGGGUGAAAGGCCAAUCAAACCGGGAGAUAGCUGGUUCUCCCCGAAAGCUAUUUAGGUAGCGCCUCGUGAACUCAUCUCCGGGGGUAGAGCACUGUUUCGGCAAGGGGGUCAUCCCGACUUACCAACCCGAUGCAAACUGCGAAUACCGGAGAAUGUUAUCACGGGAGACACACGGCGGGUGCUAACGUCCGUCGUGAAGAGGGAAACAACCCAGACCGCCAGCUAAGGUCCCAAAGUCAUGGUUAAGUGGGAAACGAUGUGGGAAGGCCCAGACAGCCAGGAUGUUGGCUUAGAAGCAGCCAUCAUUUAAAGAAAGCGUAAUAGCUCACUGGUCGAGUCGGCCUGCGCGGAAGAUGUAACGGGGCUAAACCAUG